AAGGCUGCGAGGCAAAUCUGGUCUAGGCUACGUGGCUUGGGCCCACGUGAUCGCCGGUUCAAAUCCGGCCAGCCCCACCA
This 80-nucleotide transfer RNA is filed under the name Candidatus Bathyarchaeota archaeon. Its description in RNAcentral is "tRNA-Pro". It matches the Rfam family "tRNA". From Rfam's summary of the family: Transfer RNA (tRNA) molecules are approximately 80 nucleotides in length. Their secondary structure includes four short double-helical elements and three loops (D, anti-codon, and T loops). Lineage: Archaea; Thermoproteati; Candidatus Bathyarchaeota. The record is from RNAcentral.